GGGCAGGAGAUUCGAGCGCACCAUCCAGGCGCUGUGCCGGAGAAACAGACCUCGGGGUCAGGAACAGGCAGGCCCUUGGCAUUUACGAGAAGCCCCGGGACUCGUGCUUGUGCAUGCUGAACGCUGCAGAAACCCUGGAGUGAGUCCUCUUUUGUCUCUGAGUCUGACCAGGUACUUAAACAUGGUUUAGAUUCUACAAUGUGGUCAUGCAUACAUCCUGAACUGAAGAAGCUUCUUGGAUAAGAAACGAAAAACAGUCUUCAAAUAAAAACCAGAAAGUCCAGUUGCCACUUGAAAAAAGCACCUUGGAGACAACCAUGACCUGGAUGACUGAGAAUGUCCAUACUGCAUAUACUGCCAAGGUACAAGGAGUUCUCACAGUCCAUUUGCGUAAUUGGGAAAUGAGCACCUUAAGCCUGUAGGCUUUUCUGGAUGAGCUCUAAAUGGUAAUAUAAGUUAUUGUAAUAUAUACAACCUGUUUAUUUGCUUAUACUGCUGAGUAGGAACCGGGACUUUUGUCACAAGAAGUGACACCACAGUGGCACCUCUAAUGAUCCUGACAAGAGUCUUCAGCGUAUCAGGAGUUCCCAAGUAGCCAUUCGAGGUUGUAUAAUUUUCCUAGAAUACUUUGCAGAAUUCUUCUCAGGGGGCUUUACAGGAAAUGUGAACAGAGCAGUUGGGAGACACAGAUGCCUGGCAAAGAGAGCCUUAUUGGACCUCUGAGCAUCCAAUAGUUGUGGGAGGAGGUGGGGUGUCUGCAGAGAAGUAAAAAUGUCAACAAGGCAGCACACCAAAUGGUUGAAUCCCCGUUCUUUUUUUGUAUGUGAAAAAAGAAGACCAGGAUUUCAGUCAUAAAAAGGCACUUCUUGACAUUUUUCACACACACACACACACACACACACACACACACACACCAAGAGUCCUAUGAGAAUACAAGAGGCUGAUAGUGGUCAUCAUCAUCAUCAUCAUCAAUCAUUUUAGCCAUUGUCUAUCCACUGCAGG
Pseudonaja textilis is the source of this 1002-nucleotide non-coding RNA. The record is from RefSeq and is a predicted model, not a curated record. Lineage: Eukaryota; Metazoa; Chordata; Lepidosauria; Squamata; Elapidae.